CGCGUGCUUACACAUGCAAGUCGAACGGAAAGGCCCAAGCUUGCUUGGGUACUCGAGUGGCGAACGGGUGAGUAACACGUGGGUGAUCUGCCCUGCACUUCGGGAUAAGCCUGGGAAACUGGGUCUAAUACCGGAUAGGACCACUUCUUGGAUGUUGUGGUGGAAAGUUUUUUCGGUGUGGGAUGAGCUCGCGGCCUAUCAGCUUGUUGGUGGGGUAAUGGCCUACCAAGGCGUCGACGGGUAGCCGGCCUGAGAGGGUGUACGGCCACAUUGGGACUGAGAUACGGCCCAGACUCCUACGGGAGGCAGCAGUGGGGAAUAUUGCACAAUGGGCGCAAGCCUGAUGCAGCGACGCCGCGUGGGGGAUGACGGCCUUCGGGUUGUAAACUCCUUUCGCUAGGGACGAAGCGUUUUUGUGACGGUACCUGGAGAAGAAGCACCGGCUAACUACGUGCCAGCAGCCGCGGUAAUACGUAGGGUGCGAGCGUUGUCCGGAAUUACUGGGCGUAAAGAGCUCGUAGGUGGUUUGUCGCGUCGUUUGUGUAAGCCCGCAGCUUAACUGCGGGACUGCAGGCGAUACGGGCAUAACUUGAGUGCUGUAGGGGAGACUGGAAUUCCUGGUGUAGCGGUGGAAUGCGCAGAUAUCAGGAGGAACACCGAUGGCGAAGGCAGGUCUCUGGGCAGUAACUGACGCUGAGGAGCGAAAGCAUGGGUAGCGAACAGGAUUAGAUACCCU
RNAcentral lists this ribosomal RNA (736 nucleotides) under Corynebacterium ureicelerivorans. RNAcentral describes it as "bacterial SSU rRNA". It matches the Rfam family "Bacterial small subunit ribosomal RNA", at positions 43 to 788 of the family's 1533-position model. Lineage: Bacteria; Bacillati; Actinomycetota; Actinomycetes; Mycobacteriales; Corynebacteriaceae. The record is from RNAcentral.